UACAGAGGUCUCAAGCGUUGUUCGGAUUCAUUGGGCGUAAAGGGUGCGUAGGUGGCGAGGUAAGUCGGAUGUGAAAUCUCCAAGCUCAACUUGGAAACUGCAUUCGAUACUGCUUUGCUAGAGGAUUGUAGAGGGCAUUGGAAUUCACGGUGUAGCAGUGAAAUGCGUAGAUAUCGUGAGGAAGACCAGUGGCGGAAGGCGAAUGCCUGGGCAAUUCCUGACACUGAGGCACGAAGGCCAGGGGAGCAAACGGG
Molecule: ribosomal RNA, 254 nt
Filed under: uncultured bacterium
Lineage: Bacteria
Description: partial 16S ribosomal RNA
Rfam family: Bacterial small subunit ribosomal RNA
Source: RNAcentral